GCCUGGGUGGCUCAGUCGGUUGAGCGUCUGACUUCGGCUCAGGUCAUGAUCUCAUGGUCCGUGGGUUCGAGCCCUGUGUCGGGCU
Molecule: transfer RNA, 85 nt
Filed under: Felis catus (domestic cat)
Lineage: Eukaryota; Metazoa; Chordata; Mammalia; Carnivora; Felidae
Rfam family: tRNA
About the family: Transfer RNA (tRNA) molecules are approximately 80 nucleotides in length.
Source: Rfam by way of RNAcentral